Molecule: ribosomal RNA, 449 nt
Filed under: uncultured bacterium
Lineage: Bacteria
Description: partial 16S ribosomal RNA
Rfam family: Bacterial small subunit ribosomal RNA
Source: RNAcentral
AACGAACGCUGGCGGCAGGCCUAACACAUGCAAGUCGAACGCUCUAGCAAUAGAGAGUGGCAGACGGGUGAGUAACGCGUGGGAACCUUCCCAAUGGUGCAGAAUAGCCCAGGGAAACUUGGGGUAAUACUGCAUAAGCCCUUCGGGGGAAAGAUUUAUCGCCAUUGGAUGGGCCUGCGUCGGAUUAGCUAGUUGGUGAGGUAAUGGCUCACCAAGGCAACGAUCCGUAGCUGGUUUGAGAGAAUGACCAGCCACACUGGGACUGAGACACGGCCCCGGCUCCCACGGGAGGCAGCAGUGGGGAAUCUUGGACAAUGGGCGCAAGCCUGGUCCAGCCAUGCCGCGUGAGUGACGAAGGCCUUAGGGUUGUAAAGCUCUUUUGCCGGGGACGGUAAUGACGGUACCCGGAGAAUAAGUCCCGGCUGACUUCGUGCCAGCAGCCGCAGUAA